Molecule: ribosomal RNA, 429 nt
Filed under: Chloroflexota bacterium
Lineage: Bacteria; Bacillati; Chloroflexota
Description: Chloroflexi bacterium partial 16S ribosomal RNA
Rfam family: Bacterial small subunit ribosomal RNA
Source: RNAcentral
UGGGGAAUAUUGCACAAUGGGCGCAAGCCUGAUGCAGCCAUGCCGCGUGUAUGAAGAAGGCCUUCGGGUUGUAAAGCACUUUCAGCGGGGAGGAAGGCGAUAAGGUUAAUAACCUUGUCGAUUGACGUUACCCGCAGAAGAAGCACCGGCUAACUCCGUGCCAGCAGCCGCGGUAAUACGGAGGGUGCAAGCGUUAAUCGGAAUUACUGGGCGUAAAGCGCACGCAGGCGGUCUGUCAAGUCGGAUGGGAAAUCCCCGGGCUCCACCUGUGAACUGCCUUCUAAGUUGGCCGGGUAGAGUCUUUUAGAGGGGGGUAGAAUUCCAGGUGUAGCGGUGAAAUGCGUAGAGAUCUGGAGGAUUACCGGUGGCGAAGGCGGCCCCCUGUACAAAGUCAGACGCUCAGGUGCGAAAGCGUGGGGAGCAAACAGG